Long non-coding RNA from Acromyrmex echinatior (Panamanian leafcutter ant), 266 nucleotides. The record is from RefSeq and is a predicted model, not a curated record. NCBI's taxonomy places the organism in Eukaryota, Metazoa, Arthropoda, Insecta, Hymenoptera, Formicidae.
UAAACCCCGCUCCUCACGGCCCGCGCGUUCGGUGAGCCGUGCCUUCGGCAAUAAUAGGUCGGGAGGACGCGCGUAUUUGGCUAUCUUUAAACAUACACAACUCGAACAGGACAAGUCUUUUAAAUGUUCAAAUAUUUCUGAUACUCGUGAGUUUGAUGAUAGUUAUCAUGUUCCGCAAAACCAAGAAAAUUUUAAAGAUGAUAUUCAAGAGAAUUAUUCCGGAAGGAUAAAAUAUAAUGCAAAUAAAUCUUCAUCUAAUACAGAAG